UCCCAGCCCCUCCCCCUCAUCUCGACAAAAAAAAAAAAGACAACCCGCGGCCUCCUCUCGACCCCUCGCUCACUCCGUCUCCCCAUGCCGGCCUCUCCCAACGCGGCGGCCACGACGGCGCGCCUCCCCCGGCGAUCUGUGCUCCCGCCGCCCCUUCCUUCCUCUCCCUCUCCCCCGAUGUGGCGGCAUGGAGUCCGGGCCCCAGCGGCACCACCUGACCGCGGGGCGUCUUUGCGGCGCGACGAUGUCCUCAGGCUACGACGGAGCACCGCCUGUGUGACCUGUCGACGCUCAUCCCCGGCCACGGCAGGGCAUCAACAGGGCUUUCCGAGCAGGGCCCUUCGGUGGCUGGCGGCGCGGGUGUUCUCCGAGGCAGGCUCCUCGAAACCCUAGGUUUACGUGCUCGCGGACACCGCUGUCCAGUGCCGGGCUCGGGCGCGGUAGUCUCAUCGAUGACCACGAGAGCUCCAGCAUGAGCAGGCCUCCGCCACCGCCGUACUAGCGAUGGCCGUGGUUGUCACCUUCGAUUUUGGAACAGCGGCGUGGGCCAUGUACCCUACGCUCAGGUUUCCUCUCAUCUUUUUAUCUAGGACUCUCUAUUUGCCUUGUUCCUCAGGUAAACCAGCUAUACUAUAGCCUCUCUUUUUAUUCAUUUUUUUGUGUCCUCUAUCCUUAAAUAUUCGCACUAAUUUAGGGAAACAUAAGAAUAGUGCUAGAGACCUAACUAUGAGCUCAAUAAGCGAGAUUGGGUUCACAUGCGCUCAAUAGCAUCCUAAUUUGCUGUGAUGCUACAAUCUUGGUGGCUUCCACAUUUUUCUUCACUUACAGCUUCUCUAUAUGGCUAAGUUUUUUUUUUCUCAAAGCGGCUAUCUAUAUUAAUACAUAAAUAUCUGCACUGCAUUGGGGUCAUCCUGGAUGAGAAAUUUUAGAUAUCAUGUGACUAAGAAAGUAGUUUUUUAGUCCGCGCAUGCCACAUGUUGUCUCCUAGAGUGUUGUCCUGCAUAUAUGUUGAAUUUUUGACACCACAAUACUUUGCUUCUUAGGUAAUUAAUUGUUAUCCAUAUUUAGUUCAUCAAACCUCCUCAAACGGUCAAACUAAUUGUUUAAAUUUGAGUUAUGCAAUUAGAUGCUUUCUGCUCAAAUUUUUGGUCUCAAAUAAAUUAUUGCUCCAUAAUUAUUUACCCAACCCUCUAGAAAGAUAGAGCCCAAAACAAUUACUAAUUUGGCAAUGCCAUUUUUGGAUUAAUCUGUCUCAUCUCUCAAAUUUUGCUUACUACCUUGCAGGAAAGAAACUCCUUUACCUAGAAAGAGUGUGCACCUUCUCUUACAUUGUUAGUUGGAUUAAUCACUGCUGCCACAACAUUUGGUUAAUCGGCCUAUGAUUUUUCUGUUGCACCUGUUCUUUCAGAUGUCUCUGUUCUGCUCUCUGAACUUCCCAGUAUGUCUGGGUGAAUUACCAAUACAUAAUCAAGCUAUUCAUGAAGCUCAAAAGCCAUCAGAGGAUAUCACCGAUAGCCUCGAGGUCGCUGGUGUUGGAGCCUUCAAUUCAGUCGAAAGACUGAUGCCUUCCUUGUUCAAGCUGGAGAUCCAGAGGUACCGCCUUAGGGUUUUUCCAAUCACAACAACUGUCAAAAUUGGUAUAGUACACGAUUUUUGGGUGCGCUCUACCAUAACCUUCUUAUGAAAAUUCCUUUUUUCAUAGUCAUACAUGUUUACAGUUGUUUUAGCUUAAUGAAAUAAUACAUUGUACAUUGCUGGUGCAUAUAGAUGUACGCCUGUAUCAUGGAUUGAGUAUGAGUGCAGGGCUAUAUUUAUUAACAGCUGACCUAAGGUGUAGUGAGCCACAGGAUCACGUUGUUUGACCUUUUAUUUGAAUGUUCUUUACAAGUUGUUUGCUGUUGCGUAAAAUCAGAGGCAUUGUAGUUUUUUUAGAUUCAGGCAUAUAUCUGACUGUAAUACCUUAGUAUUUCUUAAACUUAAUGUUGUACUAAAUUCCAAACCAUAGUGCAUGCAUGCCUGAAUGCAGGGGUGACAGACCUAGCAAAAGAAACACCAGAUAUGUUACAGUCAGAAAGCUUUUGUCAUUCUCUACAUAUAUUGUAAAAAAACUCCAUUUUAGUUGUUGUACGGUUUGGGAUUCCGUAACUUUUCUUAAUUUAGCAACAUCUAACUGCCAAAGGCAAAGGGUUUUGAAUAUAGCAGUUAUUUUGAGAAAACUGGCUCAGUGAUUGGUUCCAAUACUUUAAUAUUACUGACUGAACCUGGUUAUGAACCAUUUUCAGCUAACAAAAUAAUGUAUAUGGGACAGGUUGAUAAACCAUUUUGAAUAUGCACCAAUACUGGACCUCCUCUAAAGAAAAGAAGACCGUGUGGGUGCAUCGGCAAUUCAUAUAUUUUUUUAACCAUCCACAAAGGAACCUUUUUUAUAGCACCAAAAGCCUCAUGAAGCUAUUAUGGUAGUUUUAGACCUCCGGUGGUUUCAAAGGGCCACCAGGUUUGACAACCUCAGGUAGGUUUCAAUCGUCAAUGAUGAACUUGGUGCUAAUAGAAAUUUAAGAAAACCUUCGUGUGCACCUCUACCUGUUUGCUUCUCGUGAAAUUGUUGGUUUAGAAUUUGAUAGUUCAUACGUAAUUCAACUACUGAUAGUGAAGUCAACUGUCUGCAUAACUUCAUUUUUUAUCUGCUUAAAUUUACCAAAGCUUGAUAUGAUUAUUUCUCCGGUGCAAACAUAAGUAUAGUUCCAGUUUUGUGCACAACUCAAAAGAAGCUAUGUGAAAGUUGGCAGGAUCUAGCUGUUGUCACAAAAUUUCCAUCUCAGAGGUACUUCUCAAGGUCAUAAUUUAAAAAUGUAGAUGAGUUCCUGAGCUUCAGAGAUUGAAUCGACCCCAUACUAACAUCCAUAUAACAUCAUCAUGUCUUAUCAGAUGAUACCAGGUACUGGGCAAGAAGCAACUCAACUGAAUACGAACCUGGCUGUAAAUCCGACCGCAGCAUCAACUACUAAUCGCUCUUCCACAAUUUUAGCAAGCUGUUACGACAUCCUUGUCUCUACUUUAUUUAGUGGACUACCGAGUUAAGAACCUCCUUGUAUUGUAUAAUAUUACUACCCAUCGUUAUCGCUAUACCAUCUACGAUAUAUGCCAUAUAAAUGUAACCUUCCAUGGAUUUUACCCAUAUAACAAUCUAUGUACUAAAUAAAACUUCACCUUUUAUCCA
This is an RNA transcript of Sorghum bicolor (sorghum), 3217 nucleotides long. RefSeq lists it as uncharacterized. The transcript is spliced from 3 exons. The record is from RefSeq and is a predicted model, not a curated record. NCBI's taxonomy places the organism in Eukaryota, Viridiplantae, Streptophyta, Magnoliopsida, Poales, Poaceae.